Molecule: ribosomal RNA, 532 nt
Filed under: uncultured bacterium
Lineage: Bacteria
Description: bacterial SSU rRNA
Rfam family: Bacterial small subunit ribosomal RNA
Source: RNAcentral
UGGGGAAUAUUGCACAAUGGGCGGAAGCCUGAUGCAGCGACGCCGCGUGGGGGAUGACGGCCUUCGGGUUGUAAACUCCUUUCACCAUCGACGAAGGGUUUCUGACGGUAGAUGGAGAAGAAGCACCGGCUAACUACGUGCCAGCAGCCGCGGUAAUACGUAGGGUGCGAGCGUUGUCCGGAAUUACUGGGCGUAAAGAGCUCGUAGGUGGUUUGUCGCGUCGUCUGUGAAAUUCCGGGGCUUAACUCCGGGCGUGCAGGCGAUACGGGCAUAACUUGAGUACUGUAGGGGAGACUGGAAUUCCUGGUGUAGCGGUGAAAUGCGCAGAUAUCAGGAGGAACACCGGUGGCGAAGGCGGGUCUCUGGGCAGUAACUGACGCUGAGGAGCGAAAGCAUGGGGAGCGAACAGGAUUAGAUACCCUGGUAGUCCAUGCCGUAAACGGUGGGCGCUAGGUGUGGGUUUCCUUCCACGGGAUCCGUGCCGUAGCUAACGCAUUAAGCGCCCCGCCUGGGGAGUACGGCCGCAAGGCUA